AACGCACCUUGCGCUCCUUGGUAUUCCGAGGAGCAUGCCCGUUUGAGUGUCUUGAUAUCAUCAAACGCCCCUGCCUUUUCUGGUGGGUCGGCGAUUUGGACUUGGACGUGCUGCUGGGCGCUCUGCGCUCGGCUCGUCUUGAAUGCAUUAGCUGGAUCUCCCUCCGGCCUCGGACCUUAUGGCGUGAUAAGAUCACCCGUCGAGCAGUCCUUGGUCAACGUUGGGUUCCGCUUCCAACUGUCCCCCGCGGACAACACCGAAACCUGGUUUUCGACAUCUGACCUCAAAUCGGGUAGGACUACCCGCUGAACUUAA
This 315-nucleotide unclassified non-coding RNA is filed under the name Acrodontium sp. RNAcentral describes it as "partial contains 5.8S ribosomal RNA, internal transcribed spacer 2, and large subunit ribosomal RNA". The record is from RNAcentral. Lineage: Eukaryota; Fungi; Ascomycota; Dothideomycetes; Mycosphaerellales; Teratosphaeriaceae. RNAcentral also lists the same sequence under 1 other name.